Molecule: non-coding RNA, 76 nt
Organism: Podarcis lilfordi (Lilford's wall lizard)
Lineage: Eukaryota; Metazoa; Chordata; Lepidosauria; Squamata; Lacertidae
Source: the annotation of a GenBank genome assembly
GCUCAGCUAGUAGCUCAGUUGGUAGAGCAUGAGAGUUUUAAGCUCAGGGUCGUGAGUCUGAGCCACAAGUUGGGCA